UACGGAGGGUCCAAGCGUUAUCCGGAAUUAUUGGGUUUAAAGGGUCCGCAGGCGGAUUAAUAAGUCAGUGGUGAAAUCUCCAGGCUCAACCUGGAAACUGCCAUUGAUACUGUUAGUCUUGAAUAUGGUCGAAGUAGGCGGAAUGUGUAGUGUAGCGGUGAAAUGCUUAGAUAUUACACAGAACACCGAUAGCGAAGGCAGCUUACUAGGCCAUUAUUGACGCUCAUGGACGAAAGCGUGGGUAGCGAACAGG
This 253-nucleotide ribosomal RNA is filed under the name uncultured bacterium. Its description in RNAcentral is "partial 16S ribosomal RNA". It matches the Rfam family "Bacterial small subunit ribosomal RNA", at positions 524 to 776 of the family's 1533-position model. The record is from RNAcentral.